UUUUGGAGGGCAAGUCUGGUGCCAGCAGCCGCGGUAAUUCCAGCUCCAAUAGCGUAUAUUAAAGUUGUUGCAGUCAAAAAGCUCGUAGUUGAAUUUCGGGGUUAGUAGGUUGGUCAUGCCUCUGGUAUGUACUGGUCUCACUGAUUCCUCCUUCCUUAUGAACCGUAAUGCCAUUAAUUUGGUGUUGCGGGGAAUUUGGACUGUUACUUUGAAAAAAUUAGAGUGUUUAAAGCAGGCUAACGCUUGAAUACAUUAGCAUGGAAUAAUGAAAUAGGACGUUCGAUCUUAUUUUGUUGGUUUCUAGGAUUGACGUAAUGAUUAAUAGGGAUAGUUGGGGGCAUUAGUAUUCAAUUGUCAGAGGUGAAAUUCUUGGAUUUAUUGAAGACUAACUACUGCGAAAGCAUUUGCCAAGGAUGUUUUCAUUAAUCAAGAACGAAAGUUAGGGGAUCGAAGACGAUCAGAUACCGUCGUAGUCUUAACCAUAAACUAUGCCGACUAGGGAUCGGAUGAUGUUAAUUUUUUAAUGACUCAUUCGGCGCCUUACGGGAAAC
This 551-nucleotide ribosomal RNA is filed under the name uncultured Glomus. RNAcentral's name for it is "SSU rRNA". It matches the Rfam family "Eukaryotic small subunit ribosomal RNA", at positions 546 to 1098 of the family's 1831-position model. The record is from RNAcentral. Lineage: Eukaryota; Fungi; Glomeromycota; Glomeromycetes; Glomerales; Glomeraceae.